GAAUACCAAAUGUAAUAGGCUGCAUCGAUGGAACCCAUAUUGCGAUUUAUGCUCCUACCACAAACAAACACCUCUAUCUAAACAGAAAAGGAUUUUUUAGCAUAAAUGCAAUGAUUGCUUGUGAUCAUGAUAUGAAUAUCCGUUUUGUGGAUGCUAGAUAUGCUGGUUCUACACACGAUUCGUUCGUAUGGAACAAUAGUUCUCUAAAGGCAUGUUUAGAGGCAGCGCAUCAAAACGGAGAUCAGAACUCUAUUUAUUUAGGUGACUCCGGAUACCCACUAAGCCCUUAUUUAUUAACACCUUUCCGUCAUGCAGAAUCUGGAACUAGGA
Bactrocera neohumeralis is the source of this 330-nucleotide long non-coding RNA. RefSeq lists it as uncharacterized. Lineage: Eukaryota; Metazoa; Arthropoda; Insecta; Diptera; Tephritidae. The record is from RefSeq and is a predicted model, not a curated record. The transcript is spliced from 3 exons.